This 203-nucleotide long non-coding RNA is filed under the name Elaeis guineensis (African oil palm). Its description in RNAcentral is "long non-coding RNA (EGUI_LNC040048)". Lineage: Eukaryota; Viridiplantae; Streptophyta; Magnoliopsida; Arecales; Arecaceae. The record is from RNAcentral.
GGUUCACAGCGAGAGAAAGAUCUUGGGUGCGAUCCAAUGAUUGAGAUUCAAUUUGACUUAGAUCCAACAGUUGCUGUUUAUUGUCGGUUUAUAAGAGGACUCUUUUGUGCAAUCCGAUGGUCCAGAAGUGAUCCAUCAUGCGAUCCAACGGCUGAGGAUGCUCUCGACUUUGAAUAGGAGAUCAGAAGCACUGAUCGAUGGCU